This is a non-coding RNA of Ictalurus punctatus (channel catfish), 73 nucleotides long. NCBI's taxonomy places the organism in Eukaryota, Metazoa, Chordata, Actinopteri, Siluriformes, Ictaluridae. The record is from the annotation of a RefSeq genome assembly.
AGUUCUAUAGUGCAGUGGUCAUCACAUCUGCUUUACAUGCAGAAAAUCCUGGGUUCGACCCCCAGUGGAACCA